UUACUGAGUGAAUUGACCUAUUAU
This 24-nucleotide non-coding RNA is filed under the name Drosophila melanogaster (fruit fly). The record is from RNAcentral. Lineage: Eukaryota; Metazoa; Arthropoda; Insecta; Diptera; Drosophilidae.